Molecule: long non-coding RNA, 1997 nt
Filed under: Macaca fascicularis (crab-eating macaque)
Lineage: Eukaryota; Metazoa; Chordata; Mammalia; Primates; Cercopithecidae
Description: lncRNA (ENSMFAG00000047481.1)
Source: RNAcentral
AUCCCAGCACUUUGGGAGGCCGAGGCGGGAAAAUUGUUGAGUCCUCCCACCUUCUCACAUUUUAUUAUAAGCAUCAGGAGGAGCCAAGCCACACUUUCAAUACAUUGCGUAGAAAUGUCCUCAGCUAAACAUCUGAUUUCAUCACUCUCAAGUUCUACCUUUCACAGAACACUAGAACACAAACACAGUGUUUGCUUGCGUGGUUAGAGACCAGCCUAGGCAACACGCUGAGGCUCUGCCUCUAUAAAAAAUUUUAAAAAUAAUUAGCUAGGUGUGGUGGCAUGCACCUGUGGUCCUAGCUCAUAGGGAGGCUGAGGUGUGACGAUCGCUUGAGCCCAUGAGGUGGAGGCUGCAGUGAGCUGUGAUCAUGCCAUUGCACUCCAGCCUGGGUGACAGAGACCUUGUCUCAAAGAAACCAAAAAAUUAAAAAUUAAGAAGGAGGAAAAUGAACAUCUGUAUGGUGCCCUAAAAACUGCCAUUUGGAAUUAAAUCAGAGAACUCUUAGACAACGACAACCUCUCAAGGCACCCCCUCUACCUCCCUCAUUGAAAACUCCCCUCCUCUUUGGUGAGUUUUGUUCACCCCUCCAAACAUACUAGCUGGUUCACAAGCCUGCUGGGUUCACAUGAGACUUGAGAUCCAGAGCAGCCGAAGCCCAUGAGCUGCUUCUCACAGCGAAGGGUUAUUGAACUCCCCAACCAUCCUUCUGCCUGGAGAUGGAUUUUCAUUUUCCUUCCUCCCUCCCUGGGAGGGAAUGACCCUCUGUGAAGUGCCCACUAAGGUGAGUAACCAAGCAAAGUGAGCGAAAGCCUGGAUGAUCCCCAACAGCCAAGCCGCCAGCCCCUCCCAACAGAGUGACCUCUCCUCCCCUGGCAAAGUGGAUGCAACUUAGUCUAUCAUCUCCAUGCCCUACCAUCAUCACGGCCGGCCCCCCAACUCCCCGUGCUCCACACUAACUGCAAAUCAUCUCUCUAAUGGAGAUGCCUCCUCCACUUCUUUGAAAGCCAUUUCCCUACAACAGAGCAUGAGAGACCACCACUACUCCUUCCCCAAUAGCUGCAAGGUGAUCGCUCCAAGGUGGUCCCCAUCUCUGAGCUCAGAGACUGCUGGUUUACUUUAAGGCAGGCAUGGUGCCCAUUUCUUUUUCUUUUUUCUUUUUUGAGAUGGAGUUUUGCUCUUUUUGCCCAGGCUGGAGUGCAAUGGCAUGGUCUCAGCUUACUGCAACAUCUGCCUCCCGGGUUCAAGUGAUUCUCCUGACUCAGCCUCCUGACUAGUUGGGAUUACAGGCUCCCGCCACCACAUCCAGCUAAUUUUUGUAUUUUCAGUAGAGACAGGAUUUCGAUGUCUUGGUCAGGCAGGUCUUGAAGUCCUGACCUCAGGUGAUACACCUGCCUCGGCCUCCCAAAGUGCUGAGAUUACAGGCGUGAGCCAUCGCGCCCAGCUAAUUUUUGUAUUUUCAGUAGAGAUGGGAUUUUGACAUGUUGGUCAGACUGGUCUCGAACUCCUGACCUCAGAUUGUCUGCCUGCCUUGGCCUCCCAAAGUGCUGGGAUUACAGGCAUGAACCACUGUGCUCGGCCCAUGCUUCUCAUUUCUAAAACACUUAUGAUUGAGAUGAGUCACCAGCUAGACCAACACCCCAAAUCAUCCACAGCAUUAAAGUCAAUGAAGAAACCAAGGGGGAGAUUUCAGGCUCCUGCAAAGGGAGGGGAGAAUUUUUCCUUUUUGGUAGGUAUCGAGUUCAGAAACCCUUUCAAGGUGUCCUCUUUAAUUCUCUGGCCAAGGAGAGGGAAUAUGUACUAGGCUGAGACGGCAGGGAACAUGAACUGCUGCCACCGGCUGGAUUACUGACUGCUUCUCAGUUUCAUCAGCCUCUGCAGGGCACCACUGAGCCAGUGCGCUUCUGCAGAGAAGCAGAGGGCUGAUUCACAGCUCUAGGGGUUGCCACAUCUUGGGGGCAAGUUCUGUUCUUUCUGCAGGACUCUUGAGAGAGAGCUCC